RNAcentral lists this ribosomal RNA (116 nucleotides) under Lepisosteus oculatus (spotted gar). Lineage: Eukaryota; Metazoa; Chordata; Actinopteri; Semionotiformes; Lepisosteidae. The record is from RNAcentral.
AGCAGCAGCCAUAGCACCCUGCAACUCACACCUGGCUACCCACUGAAGCUAAGCAGGUGUGAGCCUGGUGAGUACCUGGAUGGGAGACCUCCUGGGAAAAACUAAGGCUGCUGCUG